UGGCACUGUUGGGAAUAGGGGAAAGAGAAGCACUUCUCCAGAGGAGGUGGCGGCGGCUGUGUUCAGGCAAGUAUAAUAUUGCUGCCGGUCCCAAAGCUGUUGAUGUUCCCCAUGCACUCCUUUGCAAGUUCUUUGUCACUCUCUAUUCCAUUGGGUCAGGUUCUCACCUCUGCAUUCCAAAUUAGCAGACCUGUCAAGUCUCAGCUCAAUGCUACGAAGAAGAAGCAGAAGACAGAGGAUGAAAAGAAGACUGUCCCUUUGGACCAUGUGAAAACAGCAAGACAGUCUUUGGGACCCAGCCUAUAGACACAUGCUAUUAGAGACCACGACGAUUGCAGAAAGCAAGGAAGUGUUUUCAUUGUGAGAAGACCAUGAUCAACUUCUUGUCCACCAGGAACCCCCCCAGGUCCUUCUCUGCAGAGCUGCUCUCCAGCAAGUCAACCCCCC
Long non-coding RNA from Struthio camelus australis, 447 nucleotides. RefSeq lists it as uncharacterized. The record is from RefSeq and is a predicted model, not a curated record. NCBI's taxonomy places the organism in Eukaryota, Metazoa, Chordata, Aves, Struthioniformes, Struthionidae.